AGUGAACGCUGGCGGUAGGCCUAACACAUGCAAGUCGAACGGCAGCACAGUAAGAGCUUGCUCUUACGGGUGGCGAGUGGCGGACGGGUGAGGAAUACAUCGGAAUCUACUUUUUCGUGGGGGAUAACGUAGGGAAACUUACGCUAAUACCGCAUACGACCUACGGGUGAAAGCAGGGGAUCUUCGGACCUUGUGCGAUUGAAUGAGCCGAUGUCGGAUUAGCUAGUUGGCGGGGUAAAGGCCCACCAAGGCGACGAUCCGUAGCUGGUCUGAGAGGAUGAUCAGCCACACUGGAACUGAGACACGGUCCAGACUCCUACGGGAGGCAGCAGUGGGGAAUAUUGGACAAUGGGCGCAAGCCUGAUCCAGCCAUACCGCGUGAGUGAAGAAGGCCUUCGGGUUGUAAAGCCCUGUUGUUGGGAAAGAAAAGCAGCAGGUGAAUACCCCGCUGUUCUGACGGUACCCAAAGAAUAAGCACCGGCUAACUUCGUG
RNAcentral lists this ribosomal RNA (492 nucleotides) under uncultured bacterium. Its description in RNAcentral is "partial 16S ribosomal RNA". It matches the Rfam family "Bacterial small subunit ribosomal RNA", at positions 29 to 507 of the family's 1533-position model. The record is from RNAcentral.